Molecule: ribosomal RNA, 478 nt
Filed under: uncultured bacterium
Lineage: Bacteria
Description: SSU rRNA
Rfam family: Bacterial small subunit ribosomal RNA
Source: RNAcentral
AGGACGAACGCUGGCGGCGUGCUUAACACAUGCAAGUCGAACGGUGAUCCGCUUUCGGGCGGUGAUCAGUGGCGAACGGGUGAGUAACACGUGGGUAACCUGCCCUCCACUCUGGGAUAACUCCGGGAAACCGGGGCUAAUACCGGAUAUGACCUGAGGCGGCAUCGCCUCGGGUGGAAAGUUUUUCGGUGGAGGAUGGACCCGCGGCCUAUCAGCUUGUUGGUGGGGUAAUGGCCUACCAAGGCGAUGACGGGUAGCCGGCCUGAGAGGGGCGACCGGGCCAACGACUGGGACUGAGACACGGCCCAGACUCCUACGGGAGGCAGCAGUGGGAAUAUUGCACAAUGGGCGAAAGCCUGAUGCAGCGACGCCGCGUGAGGGAUGACGGCCUUCGGGUUGUAAACCUCUUUCAGCAGGGACGAAGCGCAAGUGACUGUACCUGCAGAGAAGCACCGGCUAACUACGUGCCAGCAGCCGC